Long non-coding RNA from Parasteatoda tepidariorum (common house spider), 182 nucleotides. The record is from RefSeq and is a predicted model, not a curated record. NCBI's taxonomy places the organism in Eukaryota, Metazoa, Arthropoda, Arachnida, Araneae, Theridiidae.
UAUGCGCACCCUAUAAGAGCUCUUCCUCUUUUGAUAACUGUCCAUGCAGGAAAGGUCUUACUUGCGAUCCUGAUAUUUUGCCACUUGGUAAGGUCUCCGUCAAAUCAAAGAGUCGUGGAACUUGUAAAGAGCCAGGAAGAAAGUAACAUCUGAGUCAGUAAACAGAAAAAAGUAGCUCUAAA